AAAUGGUUUUAUUUUCGCCAUACAUUUCCUUGAAACAGUCACACAACCGUCUUGUUUUUCAAAAUAUUCAGGGAUUUACCAUUAAGAUCAGUAGGUUUUGACAUGUUCGGAGGUUGGAGGUAUUGACACACACUACUCGUUAUUUAAAAGUUUGGACCCUUUUUCAUUUAUAUACAAGAUGUCAGAAAGGAUGAAUGACUGGAACCCACUUGAAUCAUGGAAGAGAGUAACUUGCAUCAUGAUGAUUCGUGCCGGCCAUCAAAAUAAGGAUAUUAUGACUGCUGCCCAAUGCUCCCUGAACAAAGUAAAAACAAUCAGGCAUGAACUAGAGACUUGCAAUGGUGACUACGAAGAUGUAGCAAGAAGAAAGAUCCCUAGCAGACGAUCUGAUCGCGUUCGUACAGCAGAAUUCCAAGCAAAUCUGCAGGAACAGGUGUUGAAGAACCCUGGCAUUGGAAUUCGGGCUUUGUAACGUGAAAUGAAUGUUGCAGCCUCUACUAUGAAGCUUGCACUCAACGAAGACCUUCGCUACUACUCAUACAAGCGGAUUUUCUUUUUCCUUACAAAACUGUCUAAUUUAUCCCGAACACCCUGUAUAUAUAUAUAGGCUCAAAAUUCCUUAUAUAUUUCAUUCUUGGAUUACAGAAAUCUAACUUUAAAAAAUCGUAUUCAUUUGAAAAACUUUACAUUUAGUCUUAUAUUUCUAGAGACGUUAUAAUAAACUUGCGUUAUAUAAAUAA
Long non-coding RNA from Stegodyphus dumicola, 740 nucleotides. The record is from RefSeq and is a predicted model, not a curated record. Lineage: Eukaryota; Metazoa; Arthropoda; Arachnida; Araneae; Eresidae.